Molecule: long non-coding RNA, 920 nt
Filed under: Cricetulus griseus (Chinese hamster)
Lineage: Eukaryota; Metazoa; Chordata; Mammalia; Rodentia; Cricetidae
Description: lncRNA (ENSCGRG00015037915.1)
Source: RNAcentral
AUAAAAGUAUCCACAGUGAGGCUGCUCACCAGUCGGGCUCGGCUGUACUCCAGGACUCAGUAGAUCCUGGGUACAAGCCCAGCCCGACUGUAAACUGACACAAUGCAGACUGCUCCUGACUUCCACAGGAGUCAGAGCCAGAGAGAAUCAGCAAAGGCAGAGAUUGUCUGAUUACCAGCAGAGGAGGGCUUCCAGUGAUAUUUUCCACUUACAAACCAGAAGCUGGAAGCAACUAAAUGACCCUCAACUGAAAAAUGGAAAGAGAAAAUUUGGCACAUUGACACAAUGGAGUACUACUCAGCAGAAAAAAUGGAAUCUUGAAAUUUGCAGGAAAAUGGAUGGAACUACAAGAAACCUUUCUAAGCAAGGUUUUGUUGGGAGGAAGAAAAGAAUCGACAGCUCUGAUGCAGAUCUCCAUGGAAACCACAGGAUUGCCUCCAGUGCUGGAAAUGAGACCACUCUCCUCACUGUUUCCUAUUCAAUGCUCCAUUUAAAUGCACACAGUCCUUUGAUCAGGGGUAAGGAAUGCUUAUAAAAGCAACAGCCUUGUGGCUUCUAAGCUGUUAGGAUCUGGCCAUACUAAAGGACUCAGCUGAUUCUAGGUAUGGCCAGAGCCACCUGUACACUGACCAGGACUUGCACUAGGAGAGUCUGUCUCCAUUCUGUACCCUGGAAGAUCCACUGUGGGGACUGCUACUCCAUUGUCAGUUUUCCUAGCAACCCUAGAGUCUGUGAAAAUAUGAAGCAGUAACAUUUGCAGAUGCUACCCUACCUGUCACUGAAACCCUGAGUGUAACUUAAAUUGUAGUAUAGAGAAUUUUCUUGUUAUCUUCUUGUUGCCAUUUAUGGUCACAGGUUCAAUUUUCCAAUCUUUGUUUACAUUUCCUGUGUAUUUUGGUUUUGUUUGUUGAGACUCCCUG